This 498-nucleotide ribosomal RNA is filed under the name uncultured bacterium. RNAcentral's name for it is "partial 16S ribosomal RNA". It matches the Rfam family "Bacterial small subunit ribosomal RNA", at positions 30 to 523 of the family's 1533-position model. The record is from RNAcentral.
AUUGAACGCUGGCGGCAUGCCUUACACAUGCAAGUCGAACGGUAACAGGUCUUCGGAUGCUGACGAGUGGCGAACGGGUGAGUAAUACAUCGGAACGUGCCUAGUAGUGGGGGAUAACUACUCGAAAGAGUGGCUAAUACCGCAUGAGAUCUACGGAUGAAAGCAGGGGAUCGCAAGACCUUGUGCUACUAGAGCGGCCGAUGGCAGAUUAGGUAGUUGGUGGGAUAAAAGCUUACCAAGCCGACGAUCUGUAGCUGGUCUGAGAGGACGAUCAGCCACACGGGGACUGAGACACGGCCCAGACUCCUACGGGAGGCAGCAGUGGGGAAUUUUGGACGAUGGGCGAAAGCCUGAUCCAGCAAUGCCGCGUGCAGGAUGAAGGCCUGCGGGUUGUAAGCUGCUUUUGUACGGAACGAAAAGCCCUGGGUUAAUACCCUGGGGUCAUGACGGUACCGUAAGAAUAAGCACCGGCUAACUACGUGCCAGCCGCCGCCGUAA